This is a non-coding RNA of Delphinapterus leucas (beluga whale), 339 nucleotides long. Lineage: Eukaryota; Metazoa; Chordata; Mammalia; Artiodactyla; Monodontidae. The record is from RefSeq and is a predicted model, not a curated record.
GGAAGAAACCAAGCCAAGGAGCUUCCAGCCCUGGGGUCUGGGGAAAUUUAGAAGCCAAGAGCUUGGCAGCGCUUCCUUGGAUUUUUAACCCCAAGCCUCCCAAAGGAUGUCAAAGUCCCAGGUGAUGACUGACUCCCUCUCCAGAAUCUCCACUGCGACCUACGUGGGGACAGGUGACAGGUUUCUCCUGAGCCCUCAUCCUCUACAAAUCACUGGCACAAGAACCCUCGUCUCAGACUCCACUUCGGGGUCCCUGACUUACGACGACACCCAGCCCAGCAGGCCCGCCCAGGCCAGGACCCCGGCACCUCAUGAGGGGCCCCGCGGAGCACGCUGGCU